This 346-nucleotide long non-coding RNA is filed under the name Phoenix dactylifera (date palm). RNAcentral's name for it is "long non-coding RNA (PDAC_LNC005394)". Lineage: Eukaryota; Viridiplantae; Streptophyta; Magnoliopsida; Arecales; Arecaceae. The record is from RNAcentral.
AAAAGAAUAUUUAAAGAAGAAUGUAUCUUUUGAGGAAAAGCCUUAAAUAUUCAAUCUCCUUGCAUUCUGCAUCUUUUUCAAAAGUCACUUACAUUUGAUGCAUACUUUGAAUGUUUUAUGUUUGAUUCAUAAUCAUUCUUGUCAAUUUCUAAAUUUAACCGCUUUACUUACAAAGCAUGAAUUAAUAUCAAGAGCCUUACAUAAAUGAAAGAGAAAUGAAUUUUCUUAAAGCUAAAUCAUUAAAGGUUACUCUAUGUAAAUUUGGCAAAGAACUUUUAGUAUGUUUUUAAUGUCUAACUGAUCUAAAACUGAUAUCAAUUUAAGCAUAUUUUGGUAUUAGACUUUG